CCCCAUCUAUCCCAUCCCCAAUUUUACAUCGAAACCCUAAUCAUUACUCUGCCUCUUUUCUUUCCAUCUUCUCUCUUUGUACCUCUAUCUACACGCCCAUUCUCUCAAUUUUAGACGUUGGUCCGCUCCUCUUGCAGCGACGCACAAUUGACGAACGCGACAUAGUUAUAUACAGUAUGGUUGCACGUAGAUCCACCACCGUUGCCCUUUUUCCACCUACAAACUCAUCGUCGCCCACUGUCCUAUCCCUUCUACUAUUGUCGACAACCCUACAGAUCCAACACUGGUGCAGCAACUCAACAAAUCAAAACACCAGGGCCACGUGAAGCGCGCGAGACGGAGGCGGUGGAUUUUGCGAGAGACAUCAUGAGGGAGGUUAUAGAGAUGGACGUUGUAGAGGUUACUGUCGUCGUGAAGGACGUUAUGGAGACCGUUUUCUUUGAAUUCUGUGUUGAUCCCAAAAAGUGCGCCAACAAAUGUCGGUCCCACCCGGGCUUGGGCGAAUGUCCAACACGCUAAAACACGUGGAUGGUCUAAAACGAGCGCUUCAAAUGGCGUGUGAGUAGCCCAACGACACGGGACGGUGACGUUCGGAAUCCGGCGGAUUGUUCGUAAUCCCAUUGUACAAUAAUUACCAACCGGUGUUCAUAAAUAUAUAUAUAUAUGUAAAUGUGUCUAAAAUCGAUUUGUUUAUUGCAAGUAAAAUGAGAGAGAGUUGAGUAAAUGUAAUUCUUUGUAUUGAUUCUUGUAUUAGUCUUUUGAUAUUACACGAGAGAAGUAUUUAUAGUAAUACAUAUGAAAUGGGAGCCUUUUGAUGAAGUGGCACGUAACCUCAUCUCUUUAGUUCAAACAUCUGUUCCUAGGUAUGGGGCUUGACUUGUUAGCUUGCGGCGCAUUUAUUGAUUGUGCAGGGCCUCCAUACUAGUGACAAGACUUGACCUUUAUGCUUAUGACAAACGUUCCAUCAAUCAUUCGAAUAAGAUCUGUGCAGGCGAUCUCUUGGAAGAAGUGGCCAUGGAGGAUGUUUCCUUGUGGUUCAGAGGCUCUCGCAUCAGUUUCGGGGCUUCGGCCAUUUGUCAUGAUACUUCCACUUGAGGGCCUCAGCUGCUCUCAACAUGUUCCAGCAGCCUGGCUUCGGUUCGUAGGCUUCGGUUCGUAGGCCUCGGACAAAAAAGGAGUCUCGACAGAUGGACUUCGGCUCGAAAUAGUUUGGAUGUAGCCCACCUCGACAGGAAUGCCACGUGGAUCGCCAUGAGUGGGUCAUUAUCCCAGGUAGGUUGGCCAAGUGUGACAACACGCAACAUUCUGCAUUGCAAUUUUACUUUGUUGUGUGGUGGUUUUGUAGUUGUAAAUUGUGGUUGUUGGUAGUAGUGUUGCGAUGGCGGUGGACGAUGAUGAUUUUUGGCCACGUUGCGCACUGUGUAAGCACCUUUUUGCAACUAUUGUUGCGCUAUCUAGGUAAAAGUGUUGAAGCUUCUUGGGUGGUUGGUGGUAGUUUGAAA
This 1502-nucleotide long non-coding RNA is filed under the name Olea europaea (common olive). RNAcentral's name for it is "long non-coding RNA (OEUR_LNC000108)". Lineage: Eukaryota; Viridiplantae; Streptophyta; Magnoliopsida; Lamiales; Oleaceae. The record is from RNAcentral.